CGUGGUUGUUUUUAUCCUGUACGGUGGAAAUAAGCUAUCUAGGAAUUGUUGUUACCCAGAAAGGAGUUUGUUACUGCUCGGAUUCUUCUGGUUGUGCUACAACGCUUCACCAUCGCCAUUUUGAAGCUCCAGGAGAGCCCAUUUUAUUGGUUACUUUGGUCAGGUUUUUUUACUUGGGCGUACAGUUCAGUGAUGAUCCAGUCCAAAGAUGGCGAGCCACCCUUCCAGGAUCCUUGAGAUGAUUGCUUUAAGAAGAGAACUAAAUUCUUUGGACGAACUGUGAACUG
Molecule: non-coding RNA, 287 nt
Organism: Maylandia zebra (zebra mbuna)
Lineage: Eukaryota; Metazoa; Chordata; Actinopteri; Cichliformes; Cichlidae
Source: RefSeq, a predicted model, not a curated record